This 376-nucleotide ribosomal RNA is filed under the name uncultured bacterium. RNAcentral describes it as "bacterial SSU rRNA". It matches the Rfam family "Bacterial small subunit ribosomal RNA", at positions 521 to 896 of the family's 1533-position model. The record is from RNAcentral.
UAAGACGAACCGUGCGAACGUUGUUCGGAAUCACUGGGCUUAAAGGGCGCGUAGGCGGGUUCCCAAGUCGGGGGUGAAAUCUUUCGGCCCAACCGGAAAAGGGCCUCCGAUACUGGGAACCUCGAGGGGGGUAGGGGUCGGCGGAACUUCCGGUGGAGCGGUGAAAUGCGUAGAUAUCGGAAGGAACGCCGGUGGCGAAAGCGGCCGACUGGACCUCACCUGACGCUGAGGCGCGAAAGCCAGGGGAGCGAACGGGAUUAGAUACCCCGGUAGUCCUGGCCCUAAACGAUGGGCACCGGAUUGUGGACUUGACAUGGGUUCACAGUCGAGGCAAAAGUGUUAAGUGCCCCGCCUGGGGAGUAUGGUCGCAAGGCUG